Amblyraja radiata (thorny skate) is the source of this 98-nucleotide long non-coding RNA. RefSeq lists it as uncharacterized. The transcript has 3 exons. Lineage: Eukaryota; Metazoa; Chordata; Chondrichthyes; Rajiformes; Rajidae. The record is from RefSeq and is a predicted model, not a curated record.
CUGACUCUAGUAAUCAUGUAUUGUCUCUCCUAUGACUGGUUAGCACGCAACAAAAGCUUUUCACUGUACCUCGGUACACGUGACAAUAAACUAAACUA